GGGUCCAUAGCUUAGUGGUAGAGCAUUUGACUGCAGAUCAAGAGGUCAUCGGUUCGAUCCCGGUUGGGCCCU
This 72-nucleotide transfer RNA is filed under the name Vitis vinifera (wine grape). RNAcentral describes it as "transfer RNA-Cys". It matches the Rfam family "tRNA". From Rfam's summary of the family: Transfer RNA (tRNA) molecules are approximately 80 nucleotides in length. Their secondary structure includes four short double-helical elements and three loops (D, anti-codon, and T loops). The record is from RNAcentral. Lineage: Eukaryota; Viridiplantae; Streptophyta; Magnoliopsida; Vitales; Vitaceae.